This 350-nucleotide long non-coding RNA is filed under the name Calidris pugnax (ruff). RNAcentral describes it as "lncRNA (ENSCPUG00000010865.1)". The record is from RNAcentral. Lineage: Eukaryota; Metazoa; Chordata; Aves; Charadriiformes; Scolopacidae.
GCUAGAUUCUGCCUCAGUGCCAGACACCAGGUUAGCACAGAAACUGUUUGAAGACAAAGAAGUUCUCAGAAGUGAGGAUAAGUAUCUCUUGCAGAGGCAGAAGGAACUGGAACUGAAGGUUCAAGAGCUGGAAUGUGAACUUGAGAGAGAGAAGGAAGCAUCCAGGAAGACUGCUGCAAAGUUUGAGGAAACCCUGGAUACUUACAUUGGAACAAAAAUGAGAAGUUUGGCUGCUAAGGUGAAGGCAUUGAAAGAAGUUAGGUAUGUACUUUUUUUUUUUCUAAAAUAGUACUGUUCAUCAUUGUGCUGUUUGUCUCUUGAAGUCAUGUGUGCUUUUUUGUUUCCCCAAA